CUCGGAGUUUGAUCCUGGCUCAGGAUGAACGCUAGCGGCAGGCUUAACACAUGCAAGUCGAGGGGUAUAGUUCUUCGGAGCUAGAGACCGGCGCACGGGUGCGUAACGCGUAUGCAAUCGUACCUUUUACAGAGGGAUAGCCCAGAGAAAUUUGGAUUAAUACCUCAUAGUAUGUGAGAAUCGCAUGGUUUUCACAUUAAAGUUCCAACGGUAAAAGAUGAGCAUGCGU
RNAcentral lists this ribosomal RNA (229 nucleotides) under uncultured Flavobacterium sp. RNAcentral's name for it is "partial 16S ribosomal RNA". It matches the Rfam family "Bacterial small subunit ribosomal RNA", at positions 1 to 236 of the family's 1533-position model. Lineage: Bacteria; Pseudomonadati; Bacteroidota; Flavobacteriia; Flavobacteriales; Flavobacteriaceae. The record is from RNAcentral.